AAACCAACAAGGAUUCCCUCAGUAACGGCGAGCGAACCGGGAACAGCCCAGCGUGUCAAUCUGGCCUUUCGGGGUCCGAGUUGUGGUCUGGAGGGCGGCGCUCCGCGCGGUCCGAUCGCCAAGUCCGCUGGAAAGCGGCGUCGUAGAGGGUGACAACCCCGUGGGCGAUCGGCUUCCGCGCUUCUCGAGCCCGUUCCGCGGAGUCGGGUUGCUUGGGAAUGCAGCUCUAAGCCGGUGGUAAAUCCCAUCGAAGGCUAAAUAUCGGCGGGAGACCGAUAGCGAACAAGUACCGUGAGGGAAAGAUGAAAAGAACUUUGAAAAGAGAGUCAAAAAGUGCCUGAACUCGUUGAGAGGGAAGCGACGUGGAUUCGUCGAUCCUUCGGGGGCCGAUGG
Molecule: ribosomal RNA, 393 nt
Filed under: Prototheca zopfii
Lineage: Eukaryota; Viridiplantae; Chlorophyta; Trebouxiophyceae; Chlorellales; Chlorellaceae
Description: eukaryotic LSU rRNA
Rfam family: Eukaryotic large subunit ribosomal RNA
Source: RNAcentral